Molecule: ribosomal RNA, 506 nt
Filed under: uncultured bacterium
Lineage: Bacteria
Description: partial 16S ribosomal RNA
Rfam family: Bacterial small subunit ribosomal RNA
Source: RNAcentral
GAUGAACGCUAGCUACAGGCUUAACACAUGCAAGUCGAGGGGUAACGAGAGGAAAGCUUGCUUUCCUUGUCGACGACCGGCGCACGGGUGAGUAACGCGUAUCCAACCUGCCCCCAACUAGGGAAUAACCUUGCUAAAGUAAGACUAAUACCCUAUAAUCUCCUCAGAUGUCAUCUGACGAGGAAUAAAGAUUUAUCGGUUGUGGAUGGGGAUGCGUCUGAUUAGCUUGUUGGCGGGGUAACGGCCCACCAAGGCAACGAUCAGUAGGGGUUCUGAGAGGAAGGUCCCCCACAUUGGAACUGAGACACGGUCCAAACUCCUACGGGAGGCAGCAGUGAGGAAUAUUGGUCAAUGGGCGGAAGCCUGAACCAGCCAAGUAGCGUGCAGGAUGACGGCCCUAUGGGUUGUAAACUGCUUUUAUACAGGAAUAAAGCUAGCCACGUGUGGUUAUUUGUAGGUACUGUAUGAAUAAGGACCGGCUAAUUCCGUGCCAGCAGCCGCCGUAA